Molecule: unclassified non-coding RNA, 240 nt
Filed under: soil metagenome
Description: partial contains 5.8S ribosomal RNA, internal transcribed spacer 2, and large subunit ribosomal RNA
Source: RNAcentral
AACCAUAGAAACCUGCGGAGUACCUGCGGAGGGAUCAUUAUAGUAUAUGGAAUCUCCAUUCUAUAAACCCACUCUGCGUAUCUUGUAACUGUUGCUUCCAUGGGACUUGGUUCCGCCACACCGGCUUCACGGCUGGUGAGCGCCCAUGGAAGGAGAAACAAAACUCUUCUUUGAAAUGCAGUCAGUCUGAACAAGUUUUUAUAAACGUUAAAACUUUUAACAAUGGAUCUCAGAUCGGAA